This 92-nucleotide ribosomal RNA is filed under the name Escherichia coli. RNAcentral also lists the same sequence under 1 other name. Lineage: Bacteria; Pseudomonadati; Pseudomonadota; Gammaproteobacteria; Enterobacterales; Enterobacteriaceae. The record is from RNAcentral.
GCGCGGUGGUCCCACCUGACCCCAUGCCGAACUCAGAAGUGAAACGCCGUAGCGCCGAUGGUAGUGUGGGGUCUCCCCAUGCGAGAGUAGGG